Molecule: ribosomal RNA, 497 nt
Filed under: uncultured bacterium
Lineage: Bacteria
Description: partial 16S ribosomal RNA
Rfam family: Bacterial small subunit ribosomal RNA
Source: RNAcentral
GAUGAACGCUGGCGGCGUGCCUAAUACAUGCAAGUCGAGCGAACGGACGAGAAGCUUGCUUCUCUGAUGUUAGCGGCGGACGGGUGAUUAACACGUGGAUAACCUACCUAUAAGACUGGGAUAACUUCGGGAAACCGGAGCUAAUACCGGAUAAUAUUUUGAACCGCAUGGUUCAAAAGUGAAAGACGGUCUUGCUGUCACUUAUAGAUGGAUCCGCGCUGGAUUAGCUAGUUGGUAAGGUAACGGCUUACCAAGGCAACGAUGCAUAGCCGACCUGAGAGGGUGAUCGGCCACACUGGAAUUGAGACACGGUCCAGACUCCUACGGGAGGCAGCAGUAGGGAAUCUUCCGCAAUGGGCGAAAGCCUGACGGAGCAACGCCGCGUGAGUGAUGAAGGUCUUCGGAUCGUAAAACUCUGUUAUUAGGGAAGAACAUAUGUGUAAGUAACUGUGCACAUCUUGACGGUACCUAAUCAGAAAGCCACGGCUAACUACGUG